RNAcentral lists this ribosomal RNA (253 nucleotides) under uncultured bacterium. Its description in RNAcentral is "partial 16S ribosomal RNA". It matches the Rfam family "Bacterial small subunit ribosomal RNA", at positions 524 to 776 of the family's 1533-position model. The record is from RNAcentral.
UACGAAGGGGGCUGGCGUUGCUCGGAAUCACUGGGCGUAAAGCGCACGUAGGCGGAUCGUUAAGUCAGGGGUGAAAUCCUGGAGCUCAACUCCAGAACUGCCUUUGAUACUGGCGACCUUGAGUUCGGGAGAGGUGAGUGGAACUGCGAGUGUAGAGGUGAAAUUCGUAGAUAUUCGCAAGAACACCAGUGGCGAAGGCGGCUCACUGGCCCGAUACUGACGCUGAGGUGCGAAAGCGUGGGGAGCAAACAGG